CGCGGUUGUUCCGUGGUUGUGGGUACUGAGAAUUUGAAAGGUUUCAAGAUGAAAAUUUGGAAAUUUAGAAACUGAUGAACCGAGGAUUGUAAAUAUUUGAAAGUUUGAAAAUUCGGAAAUUUGUAAAGUUUGAAACUUGAGAAUCGAAGGUACGCAUUCAGUGAAUGGAUUUCCAGUGUACCCGGUAUUGCAAAUACAAACUGGAUUGUGUUUCACGACAUUGCAGACAUCCUUCGUUAAUAACACACUCCGGUCGACAAUUCGGUGCUCUGCCUACGUAAUUCGGUAGACAGGAACAUGCUGGGAAUCCAUCAAUCACGCGACACUGAGAAUUCGGACCGCAAGGCGAUGGAAUGCAUGGAUUUC
Bombus huntii is the source of this 366-nucleotide long non-coding RNA. RefSeq lists it as uncharacterized. NCBI's taxonomy places the organism in Eukaryota, Metazoa, Arthropoda, Insecta, Hymenoptera, Apidae. The record is from RefSeq and is a predicted model, not a curated record. The transcript is spliced from 3 exons.